GCCUGGGUGGCGGAAUUGGUAGACGCCAGGGACUUAAAAUCCCUUGCUCGUAAGAGCGUACGAGUUCAAGUCUCGUCCCAGGUACCA
This 87-nucleotide transfer RNA is filed under the name Desulfobacteraceae bacterium. RNAcentral describes it as "tRNA-Leu". It matches the Rfam family "tRNA". From Rfam's summary of the family: Transfer RNA (tRNA) molecules are approximately 80 nucleotides in length. Their secondary structure includes four short double-helical elements and three loops (D, anti-codon, and T loops). The record is from RNAcentral. Lineage: Bacteria; Pseudomonadati; Thermodesulfobacteriota; Desulfobacteria; Desulfobacterales; Desulfobacteraceae.